RNAcentral lists this ribosomal RNA (503 nucleotides) under uncultured bacterium. RNAcentral describes it as "partial 16S ribosomal RNA". It matches the Rfam family "Bacterial small subunit ribosomal RNA", at positions 29 to 523 of the family's 1533-position model. The record is from RNAcentral.
AAUGAACGUUAGCGGCGCGCCUGAUGCAUGCAAGUCGAACGACCAAGUUUUCCGUAAGGAAAACAAGGGAGUGGCAAACGGCUGAGUAACACGUAAGUAACCUACCUUUAAGUGGGGAAUAACUUGUCGAAAGGCAGGCUAAUUCCGUAUGUGCUGAUAAGCGAAUGUUUUUCAGUAAAGCCUCCGGGCGCUUGAAGAAGGGCUUGCGUCUGAUUAGCUAGUUGGUGGGGUAACGGCUUACCAAGGCGAUGAUCAGUAGCUGGUCUUAGAGGACGACCAGCCAGACAGGGACUGCGACACGGCCCUGACUCCUACGGGAGGCAGCAGCAAGGAAUUUUGCGCAAUGGGCGAAAGCCUGACGCAGCGACGCCGCGUGGGGGAUGAAGGCCUUCGGGUUGUAAAGCACUUUUGUCCGGAAAGAAAUGGCUCUGGUUAAUACCUGGGGUCGAUGACGGUACCGGAAGAAUAAGGACCGGCUAACUACGUGCCAGCCGCCGCUGUAA